This 485-nucleotide ribosomal RNA is filed under the name Enterococcus casseliflavus. Its description in RNAcentral is "bacterial SSU rRNA". It matches the Rfam family "Bacterial small subunit ribosomal RNA", at positions 28 to 486 of the family's 1533-position model. Lineage: Bacteria; Bacillati; Bacillota; Bacilli; Lactobacillales; Enterococcaceae. The record is from RNAcentral.
GACGAACGCUGGCGGCGUGCCUAAUACAUGCAAGUCGAACGCUUUUUCUUUCACCGGAGCUUGCUCCACCGAAAGAAAAAGAGUGGCGAACGGGUGAGUAACACGUGGGUAACCUGCCCAUCAGAAGGGGAUAACACUUGGAAACAGGUGCUAAUACCGUAUAACACUAUUUUCCGCAUGGAAGAAAGUUGAAAGGCGCUUUUGCGUCACUGAUGGAUGGACCCGCGGUGCAUUAGCUAGUUGGUGAGGUAACGGCUCACCAAGGCAACGAUGCAUAGCCGACCUGAGAGGGUGAUCGGCCACACUGGGACUGAGACACGGCCCAGACUCCUACGGGAGGCAGCAGUAGGGAAUCUUCGGCAAUGGACGAAAGUCUGACCGAGCAACGCCGCGUGAGUGAAGAAGGUUUUCGAAUCGUAAAACUCUGUUGUUAGAGAAGAACAAGGAUGAGAGUAAAACGUUCAUCCCAGGACGGAUCUAACCAG